GACGAACGCUGGCGGCGUGCUUAACACAUGCAAGUCGAGCGGAAAGGCCCUGCUUUUGUGGGGUGCUCGAGUGGCGAACGGGUGAGUAACACGUGAGUAACCUGCCCUUGACUUUGGGAUAACUUCAGGAAACUGGGGCUAAUACCGGAUAGGAGCUCCUGCUGCAUGGUGGGGGUUGGAAAGUUUCGGCGGUUGGGGAUGGACUCGCGGCUUAUCAGCUUGUUGGUGGGGUAGUGGCUUACCAAGGCUUUGACGGGUAGCCGGCCUGAGAGGGUGACCGGCCACAUUGGGACUGAGAUACGGCCCAGACUCCUACGGGAGGCAGCAGUGGGGAAUAUUGCACAAUGGGCGGAAGCCUGAUGCAGCAAUGCCGCGUGCGGGAUGACGGCCUUCGGGUUGUAAACCGCUUUCGCCUGUGACGAAGCGUGAGUGACGGUAAUGGGUAAAGAAGCACCGGCUAACUACGUG
Molecule: ribosomal RNA, 468 nt
Filed under: uncultured bacterium
Lineage: Bacteria
Description: partial 16S ribosomal RNA
Rfam family: Bacterial small subunit ribosomal RNA
Source: RNAcentral